UACAGAGGGUGCGAGCGUUAAUCGGAAUUACUGGGCGUAAAGCGCGCGUAGGCGGCUUUGUAAGUCGGUUGUGAAAUCCCCGGGCUUAACCUGGGAACUGCAUCCGAGACUGCAUGGCUAGAGUAUGGGAGAGGGAAGUGGAAUUUCAGGUGUAGCGGUGAAAUGCGUAGAUAUCUGAAGGAACAUCAGUGGCGAAGGCGGCAUCCUGGACCGGUACUGACGCUGAGGCGCGAAAGCUAGGGGAGCAAACGGG
This 253-nucleotide ribosomal RNA is filed under the name uncultured bacterium. RNAcentral's name for it is "partial 16S ribosomal RNA". It matches the Rfam family "Bacterial small subunit ribosomal RNA", at positions 524 to 776 of the family's 1533-position model. The record is from RNAcentral.